GGGGAUUUAGCUCAGUGGUAGAGUGCUUGCCUAGCAAGCGCAAGGCCCUGGGUUCGGUUCCCAGCUCCUCA
This 71-nucleotide transfer RNA is filed under the name Rattus norvegicus (Norway rat). It matches the Rfam family "tRNA". From Rfam's summary of the family: Transfer RNA (tRNA) molecules are approximately 80 nucleotides in length. Their secondary structure includes four short double-helical elements and three loops (D, anti-codon, and T loops). Lineage: Eukaryota; Metazoa; Chordata; Mammalia; Rodentia; Muridae. The record is from Rfam by way of RNAcentral.